Molecule: long non-coding RNA, 3603 nt
Organism: Oncorhynchus keta (chum salmon)
Lineage: Eukaryota; Metazoa; Chordata; Actinopteri; Salmoniformes; Salmonidae
Exons: 3
Source: RefSeq, a predicted model, not a curated record
AACAGGACCAAUCCUCAGAGAUCACAGACGGCUAUGGAAGAGUGCCAUCUGAUUUUUGUGCACAGGACAAAAAGGCAUAAUGAAGGAUUUUUAGGGAUUUUUCUGCCAUUGUAAUCCUUGGGCGGGCCGCCUAAACAUUUUUUUGUUUGUUUUUUUCCAAACAGUGAAAUAAUAAAACAUUUGGGAUUGAAAAACGCUUUCAGUGUAAACUUAAACAACUAAAACCAGAUAUAAACUAUGUACACCCAUCUAGUACUGGGUCAGACCACCCUUUUGCAGCCAGAACAUAAUUAAUUAUUUGGGGCUUGGAAACAUUGCUCAAUUGGUAUCAAGGGGCCUAACGUGUGCCAGGAAAACAUUCCCCACAUUAUUACACCCCCGAGUACCAUUGACACCAGACAGGAUGGGUCCAUGGACUCAUGAUGCUUACUUCAAAUCCUGACUGCCAUCAGCAUGACACAACAGGAAAUAGGAUUUGCCAGACCAGGCAAUGUUUUUCCACUCCUAAAUUGUCCAGUCUUGGUGAUCGGGUGCCCACUGAAGCUAGUUCUUCUUGUUUUUAGCAGAUAGAAGUGGAACCCAGUGUAGUCGUUUGCCCAUCUGUGACAAGGACUGACGAGUUCCGAGAUGCCGUUCUGCACACCACUGUUGUUCCGCACCGUUAUUUGCCUGUUUGUGGCCCGCCUGUUAGCUUGCACAAUUCUUGCCAUUCUCCUUUGACCUUUCAUCAACAAGCCGUUUUCACCCCCACAAGACUGCCGUGGGCCGGCUGUUUUUUGUUUCAUGCACCAUUCUCGGUAAACCCUAGACAACGGUCGUGCGUGACAAGCCCGGGAGGCCAGACAAUUCUGAGAUAUCGUUCUGCCCCUGAACAGGCAGUUAACCCACUGUUCCUAGGCCGUCAUUGAAAAUAAGAAUUUGUUCUUAACUGACUUGCCUAGUUAAAUAAAGGAAAAAUAAAAUAAAAAUAUCGGUGCUGCCUUGCACAGACGAUCAUACCAUACUCAAAGCCGCUUAGGUCACUUGUUUUGCCCAUUCUAAUGUCAAUCAAAAAGUAACUGAAUGCCUGUCUGCCUGCUUUAUAUAGCAAGCCACAGCCACGUGACUCACUGUCUGUAGGAGUGAAACGUUUUUCGUGAACAGGGUGGUGUACCUAAUAAACCACUUAAGGGAGUGUAUUAUUUAAAAUAAUAUAAUCUUCGAGAACUAACAAUCACCAAAAUAAAAUCUAGACAGGCAGUGAAAAUGCCCAAAGCAAUACAUUUAGUAGUAUUGCUUUUGUUAUUAUGUUUGAGUAAAUGAACAGCCUUCUCUGUUAUAAAAUGCAUAGAAUUGCAGGAAAUUAGCUUUAAAACUGCAACAUUUUCUCUCAGUUCCAUGGCAAAGUGUGUAGAAUUGCAGGAAAUUUGCUUUAAAACUGCUAAACUGUCUCUACACCGCCAAGAUGGGGGCUUCUAAAAUCUUCCCUACAAUUUAGCUGCGCCACCUGGCAGACCAAGGCCAUUGCCCUUUUUGAUCCAGAACAACCCUGACGUUAUUUUAUAAGAAAGACUACUGGGAGAGAGCUGGACAGAAGGAGUGUUGGAGACGGUUUGGCCUGUUUAUGUGUUGUGUAUACAGUUGAAGUCAGAAGUUUACAUACACCUCAGCAAAAUACAUUUAAAUUCACAAUAUUCACAAUUCCUGACAUUUAAUCCUAAUAAAAAUUCCCUGUCAAAGGUCAGUUAGGAUCACCACUUUAUUUUAAGAAUGUGAAAUGUCAGAAUAAUAGUAGAGAGAAUGAUUUAUUUCAGCUUUUAUUUUUUUCAUCACAUUCCCAGUGGGUCAGAAGUUUUCAUACACUCAAUUAGUAUUUGAUAGCAACGCCUUUAAAUUGUUUAACAUGGGUCAAACGUUUUGGGAAGCCUUCCACAAUCUUCCCACAAUAAGUUGGGUGGAUUUUGGCCCAUUCCUCCUGACAGAGCUAGUGUAACUGAGUCAGGUUUGUAGGCCUCCUUGCUCGCACACACUUUUUCAGUUCUGCCCAUAAAUGUUCUAUAGGAUUGAGGUCAAACACUGGUGAUGGCCACUCCAAUACUUUGACUUUGUUGUCAUUAAGCCAUUUUGCCACUACUUUGGAAGUAUGCUUGGGGUCAUUGUCCAUUUGGAAGACCCAUUUGCAACCAAGCUUUAACUUCCUGACUGAUGUCUUGAGAUGUUGCUUCAAUAUAUCCACAUAAUUUUCCUACCUCAUGAUGCCAUCUAUUUUGUGAAGUGCACCAGUCCCUUCUGCAGCAAAGCACCCCCACAACAUGAUGCUGCCACCCCUGAGCUUCACGGUUGGGAUGGUGUUCUUCUGCUUGCAAGCCUCCCUCUUUUUCCUCCAAACAUAACGAUGGUCAUUAUGACCAAACAGUUCCAUUUUUGUUUCAUCUGACUAGAGGACUUUUCUCCAUGUGCAGUUGCAAACCAUAGUCUGGCUUUUUUAUGGCGGUUUUGGAGCAGUGGCUUCUUCCUUGCUGAGCAGCCUUUCAGGUUAUGUCGAUAUAGGACUUGUUUACUGUGGAUAUAGAUACUUUCGUACCUGUUUCCUCCAGCAUCUUCACAAGGUCCUUUGCUAUUGUUCUGGGAUUGAUUUGCACUUUCGCACCAAUGUACAUUCAUCUCUAGGAGACAGAAUGUGCCUCCUUCCUGAGCGGUAUGACGGCUGCGUGGUCCCAUGGUGUUUAUACUUGCGUACUAUUGUUUGUAGAGAUGAACGUGGUACUUUCAGGUGUUUGGAAAGCGCAUGUGAUCUGGAAGGGUAAGCGCAGGUCACCUGGAAGGGCCUGGAAGGGUGAGCGCAGGUAGCCUGGAAGGGUUAGCUCAGGUGACCUGGAAGGGUUAGCGCAGGUGACCUAGAAGGGCCUGGAAGGGUUAGCACAGGUGACCGGGAAGGGAUAGCGCAGGUGACCGGGAAGGGAUAGCGCAGGUGACCGGGAAGGGAUAGCGCAGGUGACCGGGAAGGGAUAGCGCAGGUGACCGGGAAGGGAUAGCGCAGGUGACCGGGAAGGGAUAGCGCAGGUGACCGGGAAGGGAUAGCGCAGGUGACCGGGAAGGGAUAGCGCAGGUGACCGGGAAGGGAUAGCGCAGGUGACCGGGAAGGGAUAGCGCAGGUGACCGGGAAGGGAUAGCGCAGGUGACCGGGAAGGGAUAGCGCAGGUGACCGGGAAGGGAUAGCGCAGGUGACCGGGAAGGGAUAGCGCAGGUGACCGGGAAGGGAUAGCGCAGGUGACCGGGAAGGGAUAGCGCAGGUGACCGGGAAGGGAUAGCGCAGGUGACCGGGAAGGGAUAGCGCAGGUGACCGGGAAGGGAUAGCGCAGGUGACCGGGAAGGGAUAGCGCAGGUGACCGGGAAGGGAUAGCGCAGGGUUAGCAGAGGUGAGAGGAGAGCACGUACAGUUGUUACCGGAUCACAGAUACAGCUUAUAGAAUGCAUCUCUGCACCUUUAGUAUAGGAAUGUGUUUAAGCUAUUUAUAUAUGCGCAAUAAAUUGGAACUUCAGCCAAAAAGCUCAACGUUUGGAAACCUGAUUUGAGGACAUGUUAUGGAUAGCUCUCUCCUGUGCCAGUGGCUUCUCAUAGGG